Molecule: ribosomal RNA, 253 nt
Filed under: uncultured Eubacteriales bacterium
Lineage: Bacteria; Bacillati; Bacillota; Clostridia; Eubacteriales
Description: uncultured Clostridiales bacterium partial 16S ribosomal RNA
Rfam family: Bacterial small subunit ribosomal RNA
Source: RNAcentral
UACGUAUGGUGCAAGCGUUAUCCGGAUUUACUGGGUGUAAAGGGAGCGCAGGCGGCGCGUUAAGCCUGGUGUGAAAGCCCGCGGCCCAACCGCGGAACUGCUUUGGAAACUGGCGAACUAGAGUGCGGGAGGGGUAAGCGGAAUUCCUAGUGUAGCGGUGAAAUGCGUAGAUAUUAGGAGGAACACCGGUGGCGAAGGCGGCUUACUGGACCGUAACUGACGUUGAGGCUCGAAAGCGUGGGGAGCAAACAGG